RNAcentral lists this ribosomal RNA (253 nucleotides) under uncultured bacterium. RNAcentral describes it as "partial 16S ribosomal RNA". It matches the Rfam family "Bacterial small subunit ribosomal RNA", at positions 524 to 776 of the family's 1533-position model. The record is from RNAcentral.
UACGUAGGGGGCUAGCGUUGUCCGGAAUCAUUGGGCGUAAAGCGCGUGUAGGCGGUCCGGUAAGUCCGCUGUGAAAGUCGGGGGCUCAACCCUCGAAUGCCGGUGGAUACUGUCGGGCUAGAGUGCGGAAGAGGCGAGUGGAAUUCCUGGUGUAGCGGUGAAAUGCGCAGAUAUCUGGAGGAACAUCGGUGGCGAAGGCGGCAUCCUGGACCGGUAUUGACGCUGAGGCGCGAAAGCCAGGGGAGCAAACGGG